RNAcentral lists this long non-coding RNA (405 nucleotides) under Rattus norvegicus (Norway rat). RNAcentral's name for it is "long non-coding RNA NONRATT022913". The record is from RNAcentral. Lineage: Eukaryota; Metazoa; Chordata; Mammalia; Rodentia; Muridae.
CAGGUGAAGUGGCUGCCCCGAGGUGAACUGAGCAAACCAAGGAGAGAUUCCCGGCAGCAGGCGCAAAACUGUUCAGGACAUCCCCAGGUGUUACCUGCAACAGUCCAUGUAGCAUGAUGGGAAGGGAACAGUGAGCCCUGGGGACACAAGAAGUGAUUUAUUUGUAGCAUUUAUUAUACAGAAGUACACUGUAGCUGUCUUCAGACACCAGAAGAGGGCAUCAGAUCUUAUUACAGAUGGAUGGUUAUGAGUCACCAUGUGGUUGCUGGGAUUUGAACUCAGGACGUCUGGAAGAGCAGUCAAUGCUCUUAACCACUGAGCCAUCUCUCCAGCCCUCACCUCAUAUUUCUAAGAGCAGUCAGCAAGGCCUCCAUUUGGCAAGCCUUCCUCCGGGGGAACAACAUA